GAUGAACGCUGGCGGCGUGCCUAAUACAUGCAAGUCGAGCGAACAGACGAGGAGCUUGCUCCUCUGACGUUAGCGGCGGACGGGUGAGUAACACGUGGAUAACCUACCUAUAAGACUGGGAUAACUUCGGGAAACCGGAGCUAAUACCGGAUAAUAUAUUGAACCGCAUGGUUCAAUAGUGAAAGACGGUUUUGCUGUCACUUAUAGAUGGAUCCGCGCCGCAUUAGCUAGUUGGUAAGGUAACGGCUUACCAAGGCGACGAUGCGUAGCCGACCUGAGAGGGUGAUCGGCCACACUGGAACUGAGACACGGUCCAGACUCCUACGGGAGGCAGCAGUAGGGAAUCUUCCGCAAUGGGCGAAAGCCUGACGGAGCAACGACGCGUGAGUAAUGAAGGUCUUCGGAUCGUAAAACUCUGUUAUUAGGGAAGAACAAAUGUGUAAGUAACUAUGCACGUCUUGACGGUACCUAAUCAGAAAGCCACGGCUAACUACGUG
Molecule: ribosomal RNA, 497 nt
Filed under: uncultured bacterium
Lineage: Bacteria
Description: partial 16S ribosomal RNA
Rfam family: Bacterial small subunit ribosomal RNA
Source: RNAcentral